UACAGAGGUCCCAAGCGUUGUUCGGAUUCACUGGGCGUAAAGGGUGCGUAGGUGGCCGGUUAAGUCUGACGUGAAAUCUCCGAGCCUAACUCGGAAACUGCGUCGGAAACUAUCCGGCUCGAGGGUUGGAGGGGAGACUGGAAUACUUGGUGUAGCAGUGAAAUGCGUAGAUAUCAAGUGGAACACCAGUGGCGAAGGCGAGUCCCUGGACAACUCCUGACACUGAGGCACGAAAGCUAGGGGAGCAAACAGG
This 253-nucleotide ribosomal RNA is filed under the name uncultured bacterium. RNAcentral's name for it is "partial 16S ribosomal RNA". It matches the Rfam family "Bacterial small subunit ribosomal RNA", at positions 524 to 776 of the family's 1533-position model. The record is from RNAcentral.